Molecule: long non-coding RNA, 879 nt
Organism: Perognathus longimembris pacificus (Pacific pocket mouse)
Lineage: Eukaryota; Metazoa; Chordata; Mammalia; Rodentia; Heteromyidae
Exons: 3
Source: RefSeq, a predicted model, not a curated record
AUAAUGGGAAUUGGUACCAAAGUAAGAGAUGCACUUCUUCUUGGACAACUUGGGGAACAUUUUGCAAUAGAAAUAGCCAGCAGGGAAGAUGACAAAAGGUGAAAAUUGAUUAGCAAAGGAGAAGGCCCAGUGGCAGCAAUUAUCUGCUAUGAGUGGAACUAGCAGAUACGGUAUGAAUGGGAGGUGAAUGGAAGGAGUGGACUGGGCUGGGAAAGCCUACACAUGCCUAUUAUCUAGUUAGUCUACUACCCAGUGGCCUUGAGGCUCUCUACUUUGGAUACAUAUUAAAAUCUAGGAUGUUGAAAUGCAGAAUACUGAUGCCAAUCAUUUGUUAACAUCAGUUAAGUCUUCUGCGAGGGAGUAUAUGCACCAGUAUUUUAUUAAAACAAAAAACAAAAAACAAACAACUCCCCAUGAAAUUCCAAUAUAUGUCUAAUGGUGAGAGUCAUCAAUGUAGGCAAUGGGUCAACACAACUGGGCAGAACAGUGGUACAAAACCUUUAAAAAAGAGCUGUGAGGAGUAGAUUCAAGGCACAGAAACUAAGAGAGACAGAUUGCACCCAGCACCUUUGAAAUUCCUGUACAAUCAACUAGGUGGUCUUGGAGUCAAAAGCUUUCUUCUACCACACAGGCCAGGUGCAGAGGCUCAGGCUCCCUCUGGAAACCCAGUUACUUUGGGGGAAAAGACAGGAUGAUCACCAGUUUGAGCAUAGGAAAAAGUUAGCAAAAUCCACUCUCAAAAACAAGACAAAAACCUUUCGUUUUGGAGAAUUAUGUUAAUAGUAAUUGAUUCAUCUUGGCUACUCAGGAAACAGCGAGGAUCUGUGUAAGAUCGACAACAAAUCCAUCCAGUAAUAUCUGCCACACAGAGACAAAGAA